Molecule: long non-coding RNA, 498 nt
Organism: Physeter macrocephalus (sperm whale)
Lineage: Eukaryota; Metazoa; Chordata; Mammalia; Artiodactyla; Physeteridae
Exons: 3
Source: RefSeq, a predicted model, not a curated record
CACCAGCGCUGCAGUGCGCUUGGGCCAUGCCGCGGUGGACAGAGCCUGUGCGCUCAGAGGACGGCAGAUGGCGAGGUAGCGCUCCACCGUGGACGCGUUGAUGCCCACGUACUGCAGGUUCGCGCAGCUCAGGACUCUAAAUCCAGGUAUCCAGUCAAUGAAGCGCGGUGCGUACUGACCGAUCUUCGCCCCCCUAGCCUUUUUCUUCUCUCUGCUUUUCACGACCACCCCGGGCAGGCUCCUCUGCUGGAGUUGGAGUUGGAGUUGUCUGAUUCUGCUUGCACACGGGGUCAGGAGCGGCUCCACUGGGCAAGGGCGGAGGAGUCCGCGACUCGCCGGCUUCCCAACACAAUCCUGGGAUCCUGUCGUGUUUUCCCUGGCAGAGACUUCAGCCCUACUGUUGACAAAUGGGGAACCAAGGCCCGGAGCUGCGGGGAAGGAAAAGUAUUUGCCCAUCUAGACUUGGGUUGGUCCUGUGUCCUCCUUGUCACCUUUUCA